CCUACGGGAGGCAGCAGUAGGGAAUCUUUCACAAUGGGCGAAAGCCUGAUGCAGCAACGCCGCGUGCAGGAUGAAGGCCUUCGGGUUGUAAACUGCUUUUAUAAGCGAGAAAUAUGAUGGUAACUUAUGAAUAAGGAUCGGCUAACUACGUGCCAGCAGCCGCGGUCAUACGUAGGAUCCGAGCAUUAUCCGGAGUGACUGGGUGUAAAGAGUUGGGUAAGUGGGAUAAUAGGUAGCGAGUUAAAUCUGGUGGUUCAACCAUUGAGACUAUUUGAAAAACUGUUAAGCUCGAGAGCGUUAGCGGUAAGUGGAAUUUCUAGUGUAGGAGUGAAAUCCGUAGAUAUUAGAAAGAACACCGAUAGCGUAGGCAGGUUACUGGGACGGUUCUGACACUGAGGCACGAAAGCGUAGGGAGCAAACGGGAUUAGAUACCCCAGUAGUC
This 442-nucleotide ribosomal RNA is filed under the name uncultured bacterium. RNAcentral's name for it is "partial 16S ribosomal RNA". It matches the Rfam family "Bacterial small subunit ribosomal RNA", at positions 338 to 795 of the family's 1533-position model. The record is from RNAcentral.